This 806-nucleotide ribosomal RNA is filed under the name Pseudarthrobacter oxydans. RNAcentral describes it as "bacterial SSU rRNA". It matches the Rfam family "Bacterial small subunit ribosomal RNA", at positions 418 to 1235 of the family's 1533-position model. Lineage: Bacteria; Bacillati; Actinomycetota; Actinomycetes; Micrococcales; Micrococcaceae. The record is from RNAcentral.
UCGGGUUGUAAACCUCUUUCAGUAGGGAAGAAGCGAAAGUGACGGUACCUGCAGAAGAAGCGCCGGCUAACUACGUGCCAGCAGCCGCGGUAAUACGUAGGGCGCAAGCGUUAUCCGGAAUUAUUGGGCGUAAAGAGCUCGUAGGCGGUUUGUCGCGUCUGCCGUGAAAGUCCGGGGCUCAACUCCGGAUCUGCGGUGGGUACGGGCAGACUAGAGUGAUGUAGGGGAGACUGGAAUUCCUGGUGUAGCGGUGAAAUGCGCAGAUAUCAGGAGGAACACCGAUGGCGAAGGCAGGUCUCUGGGCAUUAACUGACGCUGAGGAGCGAAAGCAUGGGGAGCGAACAGGAUUAGAUACCCUGGUAGUCCAUGCCGUAAACGUUGGGCACUAGGUGUGGGGGACAUUCCACGUUUUCCGCGCCGUAGCUAACGCAUUAAGUGCCCCGCCUGGGGAGUACGGCCGCAAGGCUAAAACUCAAAGGAAUUGACGGGGGCCCGCACAAGCGGCGGAGCAUGCGGAUUAAUUCGAUGCAACGCGAAGAACCUUACCAAGGCUUGACAUGAACCGGUAACGCCUGGAGACAGGUGCCCCGCUUGCGGUCGGUUUACAGGUGGUGCAUGGUUGUCGUCAGCUCGUGUCGUGAGAUGUUGGGUUAAGUCCCGCAACGAGCGCAACCCUCGUUCUAUGUUGCCAGCACGUGAUGGUGGGGACUCAUAGGAGACUGCCGGGGUCAACUCGGAGGAAGGUGGGGACGACGUCAAAUCAUCAUGCCCCUUAUGUCUUGGGCUUCACGCAUGCUACAAUGGCC